CUAAGGUGUAGAUACAAAUCUUCAGAGUCAGAAACAUAAAAUGCAUUCCAUUAUGAGUAAAUUCAUUUCUACACACUACUUAAUGAGAAACAUUUAUCUCACAUAGAAGCAUCAUCUGCUGCUCUCCAGGUAAAUCCUAAUAGCAUUCACUGUUCCAUCUGUCUGCAUUUUACACUCAGAUUCUUGUUUUUCAUUAUAGCCAAGAUUUGAGAGGAUCAACAUGAUGCAUCUUUUCAUCCAGAGCAAGGGAAGAACCCAAAAGCUUCCUAACUACAAUAUUUUGAAGGUCAGUUGGUUUCUGUCCUAAUUUUCAUUGAAAGAAUCAAAAGCAUUUUAAAAGAUGAACCAGAAAGUGAUGGCAAGGAUCUCAGUGUUGAUCACCCCAUUGUGUCCUCAGGCCUGAGUUGUCCCCCUGUCUAAUCACUUUAUCUCUUAUCCUAGCCUGAGUGGAAGUGUGAGUGCACAGUGCACAGUGCAGAAAGCAGUCUUCUCACAGGACCACACAGUGUGCUUCUUAAAGUUGGUCAGAUCCAGCCCCUGAGGUUCUCUCAACUGCACAGGUUUCUGUUAAGGUGGAACAUUAAAGGAUGCUCUUGUCCUUAUGGUACCUGACUUUGGUCUUAGCUCUAAGUGAUCCCAAAUACUUUCAAAACAUAUGUGUACCAGAUGACUAGAGUUUCAGGAAAUGGGUAUGAAAUAUACAACAUAUACCCAGCAAGGAAAAUAAGUACUUCACCAUAACAAGAAUAGAUGAGAAAAUAUAUAAAGAACUAAAAGAGAUAAUUCACAGGUGGAGAUUCUAAUGUAAGAACAUACAGAAAAUAAAUUAAAUCACUUUCAGCUGAUACUUUCUUAUGUUUUUGUCAAUGAAAUCCUUGACUGUGAACUGAGAAUAUCUGUGGAACAUCCUUCACGGUGCAGCACUGAUCUCCCUGUUCAGUGGACAGUAGCAGAUGAUGGGGUUCACGAAUGGGGGCAUGGUUUCAUUGCAAUGGGACCUAAGUAGGUUAUUGCCCCCAAAAUGACCAACAGCAGAAGAAUGGCCAGCUGCAAAGUACAGGUGGGUAUGGCUUUGUUUGGGGGAUUCCACAGAAUGCAUUUUAAGCACAUUUUAAAAUAUUUUAAUGUAUGAUAUAAAUAUAAAGGAAAAACAUAGUAACACAAGACAAAUGCUUAGAGCAACGAUUACAAAUUCUGAAAACUGGACUUCUGAAGAUGAAAUCCUCAGAAUUUGAAGUACAUCACAGAAAUAUUUCUGGAUCACAUUGGUCUUGGGAAGGAAAGCCUGAACAGAGCUCCUGUGUGGAUAACAGAGUAGACCAGACCAGAGGCGCAGGAGCCAGCUGUCGCCUGAGAGUACAGACGGAGUGAUGAUGAGCCCAUUGUGCAGAUGGUGGCAGAUGGCCGUGUAGCGGUCAUAGGACAUGACCACCAGGAGGGCAAAUUCCACAGCUGCAAAAAGAAUAUAGAGGAAAAUCUGUAUGUCACCUCUGUCGGGAAGAUUGACAUACUACCAGUCAUGGAAUUCACUGUGACUUUGGGAACAAUAACUGAGAUGCUGCCAAAAUCUAGGAGGGCCACAUUGCUUACAAAGAAGUACAUGGGAGGUUGCAGAUGUGUGUCUGUCAUGAUGACUGUGAAAGUCAAAAUAUUCCCUGUUAAUGCUUCCAUAUAAAUCACUAAGAACAGCACACCUUGCAGGACCUGGAGCUCCCUGGAGCCUGCGACAUCCAUAAGGAGGAAUUCUGUGAAGAUGAUGCCAGUGUUGUUAAGAGAACCUUGGAUCUGACCAACCUGGAGAAGCAUACUACUGAGUGGUCCUAUGAGAAGACCCUGUCUCCACUGUGCUGUUUGCACUUGCUCUUCCAGUCAGGCUUGGAUAAGUGACAAAGUGAUUAGACAGUGGGACAACUCAGGCCCAAGGACACAAUGGGAACCCUUGUCUGGGGAAAUCCUCAGCAUGGAAGUGCUGGUUCUCAUUCAGUGCCAGUCCAGCCCUGGAACAACAGGCACCUCAGGCUCCCUGCACCUCCAUACUUAUUGGUCCUCUCAGAACCAAGUGGUGUUUGGCACCAUGGACUUCCUGUCAUCCAGAACUCAUCCUAGUGAAGGUCUGGAGAUGACUCACCCUCCUCUGAUGCCUCAGAUACCUCAACUAUUCUGCCAUGAUUAUAGAUAAACCGGUCAUUUGUAGAAAAAUGGGUACACCAUGAGACCAUAUUAUUAAAUGAAAUAAAAAAGACACACAGUUUAAAUAUUGCAUAUUAUCUCAC
This 2273-nucleotide long non-coding RNA is filed under the name Heterocephalus glaber (naked mole-rat). RNAcentral describes it as "lncRNA (ENSHGLG00000031968.1)". Lineage: Eukaryota; Metazoa; Chordata; Mammalia; Rodentia; Bathyergidae. The record is from RNAcentral.